CAGCCAAAUAAUGCUCAACCCAAGAAUGUACAGCCCAAUAAUUGGCGUCCAUGAUGUACGUCUAUUAUUGGGUCGUGUAUUAUUGGGUUGAGCAUUCUCGGUCCGCGCAGGCUUGGUCCGGGGCGAUAAUACGAAGCCACUCUUUUCACAGGGCAAUAAUGUACGACCCAAUAAUACGCGUCCACUAAUUUGAGUCCUUGGCUUUCAAAUAUUGGGCUGCGCAUUAUUGGCACACGUCGAGAAAGCCCGACCCAAUAAUGUACGACCCAAUAAUAGGAAGCCAAAAACCAGAGACAUUCUUUUUUUUAAGAGAGCUGUCAAAAUUAGUAGGGACGUUCUGACUCGAGCUCGUGACAGCUUAAAAAUAAUCGGUUUUUUCUAGUGACAUCUUUCAGUGACAUUGACAGUAUUGACACUUGUUUGGUUUACAAUUUGUUAUAAUUUUUUAAUUUUUUGCAACAAAAGUCCUAAUAUUUUUCCGUACUUAAUGUCUUCAUUAUAUACAAGUAUGCAAGAAAUCAUGGCAAGAGAUCCUUAAUCGUUUUGGAAUUAAAUGAAUUCUAAAAGCAGUAGAGGUAGGUACGGAAAAAAUAUUAAUUAAUGGAGAACCUUUGUCCGGUGAACAAGUAAUGAAUUUGCUAGGUUUUUUCACUCCGUGGUCAGCGUGGAGAAGCCAAAGUUGGAGACUACAUGAGGCACAGACAGCAGUAUGUAGAUUAUGAAGGGCACAGAUUGAAACCAGCAGUGACAUGGGCCAUUUGUUCAAUAGAAUAUCUUGGUUUAUCGAAAUUGGCUGAGACAGCAAGGUGCAGGUCUCUGGAAAAUAUAUUAGGGAGCUGAUACAGGCAGUGUUGGCCGAAACGUUAAUGCAAUUAACCAUUAACCAGUACAAACUGAACCGUAAACUGUAACUGUCCGUUACGGUUUACGGUUCAAUUUGUACUGGUUAAUGGUUAAUUGCAAUUAACGUUCGGCCAACACUGGAUACAGGCAGCCAGAAUGAGUCUCUGCUGAGUCGCCGUCUGACGUCUUCGUGCCAGGUGCCAGUCGCCAGUUGCAGGGGAAGAUGCGAAUAGUUAUACAAGCGAGCAUGAUGACGUCUCUCAAAAACUGAUAGACACAAUACUCUUACUCGCCUUGUUACCAGAGGCAACCUCCAGCAGCAGUGGGACCAGCGCGGCCCCCUGCGCCCCCGCCCCGUCCCUCGCCCCUGCAGAGCGGACACCAGCGCCCUCUACAACUCUACCGGCGCCCGCCGUGUCUCCACCUUCUUCAAAAACGACAACCGGUGUUAGAUCUCCAAUUGACAUGACAAUACGAUGGACCUAGCUAGGCUAACAUUUUUAUUUUACCUUUUUAUCUCUGUAUAUUCCCAAGUCCCCAAGGGCACAGAUGGGAAUAUCAUAAUAUAGAUUACUCCCAUCCCCGUCCGCGCCCCCGCCUGAUGUGUGGCGGCCGUCACGUGAAGCCUUGACAAAUGUGAAUACAACCGUUGCCGCCAUAACAAUAAAUACUAAAAACAAUAGAUAAUGGUACGGAACCCUUCGUGCGCGAGUCCGACUCUCACUCUCACUUUCACGACUUUUCUUUCUAAGAUUAUUUUGAUUGGUUUGUCUACCAAUUAAUUUCUGUAUAAAUCAGUACCUAUAACAAAAUUCUUGCCCUUUUUAUUUCCCAAUUUAUAAUCUAAUUAUAGUCUUCAUCUUCUCAAAUCAUUUUUUAGCCUAAGAAUACAUUAUAAACCUAAGUAAUCUGUUAAACAAAAACCAUUGUCUUUAUUGUGACGGGCUCUAAGCUUCCAACUUGGGCACGUGGCAAAGCAACAAUGCCGUUUAAAAAGCAACUGAAUCGCGAUAGUACUAUAGUUCAAAUCUUUUUGACAGCUCAUUCAAGAUAACACGGUUGCGUAAUGUGGAUGGUUCGGUCGACCACCCCGAUAUAGGCGAGAAUACACAGCGCUCGUAAGAUUUCAACUUUAGUACUAUCGCGAUUCAGUUGCUUAUUAAACGGCAAUGUUGCUUUGCCACGUGCCAAAGUUGGAAGCUUGGAGCCCGUUACAAUAGAGACAAUGGCUUUUGUUUAUAGAUCCAAUCAUAUCAACUGAGCUAAUGCACUCACCUGUACUAACAAUGGCAUCGUAUUAUUACAAUACUAUUAUCCGCUUUUGUUCUCGUAGCCGCCACGCCAACUAGUUACUUACAAAAUAAGUUAGAAGUGCAUUGCAUGUAUAUUCAAUUUUCACAUCACCAAUUCGAAAAAGGGUUUUUUCUUCCCUGCUAGGAGGGAUCAAAGUGGCACUUUUCUUCCCUGCUAGGAGGGAUCAAAGUAACACUUUUCUGUUCUAGGACACUAUUUAAAAACAAUUGCACAUUAUUUUUUUAGCUUAAAUAAUAUUUUUAAACAUCAUAAUUACCUCAUAGGUGAUGUGAAAAGCAGUAUGUGUCACAUGGUAGCAAAAUUAUUUCCAUCUUGGGCGUAACACACUUGAAUCCCUCACUACGCUCAGGAUUCUACUUUAGAAUCUUCGUUACUCUCGGGAUUCUAUUAUAGAAACCUUCGCUUCGUUUAAGAUUCAAUGUACGCCCUCGCCGUAAAUAUGUCAUUUUGCUCCCUUGUAACACAAUCUACUAUUUUAACCUUAUUCCUUGUUGAAUGGGGUUAAAAUGGUCUAAAAUAAAAACAUGUUGUAACAUAUGGUUUUCUACAGAGUGCAUUCGUUUUGGGUGUCGACGGUUGUAAAAUGCAAAUAAAGUUAUGUUAGCCAUUAUUUAGUUAGUGUAUUUUGUAGCCUAUUUAAAAAAUAGAGUCGUUAAUCUAUACUAACAUAUCAAGGCGGUUAUAAUCUGCUUUUACUACGAGGUAGUUAUCCUAAUUUGUGGUUUACCAC
Molecule: long non-coding RNA, 2887 nt
Organism: Cydia strobilella
Lineage: Eukaryota; Metazoa; Arthropoda; Insecta; Lepidoptera; Tortricidae
Exons: 4
Source: RefSeq, a predicted model, not a curated record